RNAcentral lists this ribosomal RNA (437 nucleotides) under uncultured bacterium. Its description in RNAcentral is "bacterial SSU rRNA". It matches the Rfam family "Bacterial small subunit ribosomal RNA", at positions 340 to 770 of the family's 1533-position model. The record is from RNAcentral.
UACGGGAGGCAGCAGUGGGGAAUAUUGCACAAUGGGCGCAAGCCUGAUGCAGCCAUGCCGCGUGUAUGAAGAAGGCCUUCGGGUUGUAAAGUACUUUCAGUCGUGAGGAAGGUGUUAAGGUUAAUAACCUUAGCAAUUGACGUUAGCGACAGAAGAAGCACCGGCUAACUCCGUGCCAGCAGCCGCGGUAAUACGGAGGGUGCGAGCGUUAAUCGGAAUUACUGGGCGUAAAGGGCACGCAGGCGGUUAAUUAAGUUGGAUGUGAAAUCCCCGGGCUUAACCUGGGAAUGGCAUUCAAGACUGGUUAGCUAGAGUCUUGUAGAGGGGGUAGAAUUCCAUGUGUAGCGGUGAAAUGCGUAGAGAUGUGGAGGAAUACCGGUGGCGAAGGCGGCCCCUGGGACAAAGACUGACGCUCAUGUGCGAAAGCGUGGGGAGCA